CCGCGCUGGUGGCGGCGGCGCGUCGUUGCAGUUGCGCCAUCUGUCAGGAGCGGAGCCGGCGAGGAGGGGGCUGCCGCGGGCGAGGAGGAGGGGUCGCCGCGAGCCGAAGGCCUUCGAGACCCGCCCGCCGCCCGGCGGCGAGAGUAGAGGCGAGGUUGUUGUGCGAGCGGCGCGUCCUCUCCCGCCCGGGCGCGCCGCGCUUCUCCCAGCGCACCGAGGACCGCCCGGGCGCACACAAAGCCGCCGCCCGCGCCGCACCGCCCGGCGGCCGCCGCCCGCGCCAGGGAGGGAUUCGGCCGCCGGGCCGGGGACACCCCGGCGCCGCCCCCUCGGUGCUCUCGGAAGGCCCACCGGCUCCCGGGCCCGCCGGGGACCCCCCGGAGCCGCCUCGGCCGCGCCGGAGGAGGGCGGGGAGAGGACCAUGUGAGUGGGCUCCGGAGCCUCAGCGCCGCGCAGUUUUUUUGAAGAAGCAGGAUGCUGAUCUAAACGUGGAAAAAGACCAGUCCUGCCUCUGUUGUAGAAGACAUGUGGUGUAUAUAAAGUUUGUGAUCGUUGGCGGACAUUUUGGUAAGUGUUGCUGCAUUUACUUCUAAUGCCUCUUGCUGUAAAAGGGUGCUCACGAAGGGAAGCUGUUGCCUUGUUCUGUCCAUCUUUUACUUCUGCACUAAACUCAGGCAGAAUGGAGUUCUAUAAUUAAAUGUGACAUUGAAUUGAUGUUUUCUGACAGUGUGAUACUUUUUCUUGUUAUUGCUGAUAGUAUUAAGCAAUAUGGGGUUUUCUAAAACGUAAUAAGUGUAUAUUUAGAAAAGUUUCCGGAUGCCGGUUAAAGAAUACCCUUGGCAGUUUAUGUGCUAAGCCAGCCAUAUAAUAUAAGAGUAAUAAACUUGC
This 888-nucleotide long non-coding RNA is filed under the name Homo sapiens (human). RNAcentral's name for it is "HSALNT0111614". Lineage: Eukaryota; Metazoa; Chordata; Mammalia; Primates; Hominidae. The record is from RNAcentral.